GGCGGGGUAGCUCAGGCGGUUAGAGCGCAGGAUUCAUAACCCUGAGGUCCGGGGUUCAACUCCCCGCUCCGCUACAA
This 77-nucleotide transfer RNA is filed under the name Chitinophagaceae bacterium. RNAcentral's name for it is "tRNA-Met". It matches the Rfam family "tRNA". From Rfam's summary of the family: Transfer RNA (tRNA) molecules are approximately 80 nucleotides in length. Lineage: Bacteria; Pseudomonadati; Bacteroidota; Chitinophagia; Chitinophagales; Chitinophagaceae. The record is from RNAcentral.